UGUUGCUGAUGAAACUGCUUCGGCAGUAAGAUAUGACUUUAAAGGUAAAUAUGGUGUUCAUCAAUGUUUGAAAGGACAUGCAUUAAUAGAGAAUAAUGGAAAUAAAUACACUGAUAAUGCAGCAAAUAAGAUGUGAUGACAUGAAAUGAACGAAGUCUCUCUCUUCCCCUGUUUUUUUCCUGCUAUAAGUAUUUUCCCGUUUCUCAAUCUUGUAUCUUGUCAAAAUAGUUAUUGAUCUAAAUUUUACACUAGCCUUGCAUAACAUAUAUAGUUUUUCCAAAUGCAUAACCAUCUAAAUUUUAUACUAUGUUGCCUUGCAUAAAUAUUUAGAUCUCUUGGACCAGCCUGACAAAGAUAAACUGGGACACAGUAAUAAUCAUUCUGACAAUGGAAUAGACCAAUUAAUUCACCAUAAAAGGGUAACUGUUAAUUUACCUGUACGUGUGGAUUUUGUUGGUGGUUGGAGUGACACUCCUCCAUGGAGCUUAGAGCGUCCUGGUUGCGUGUUGAACAUGGCAAUUAAUUUGGAAGGUUCUCUUCCUGUUGGGACCUGUAUAGAAACAACGAAAACUUCUGGAGUUUUGUUCAGUGAUGAUGCUGGUAACGAGUUACAUAUUGAAGACCUUAACUCGAUUACCACUCCAUUUGAUAGUGAUGAUCCAUUUCGGCUUGUCAAAUCUGCGUUGCUCGUGACUGGCAUUAUUCACGAUCAUAUUCUAACUGUUGUU
This 728-nucleotide long non-coding RNA is filed under the name Cucumis sativus (cucumber). RNAcentral's name for it is "long non-coding RNA (CSAT_LNC000902)". The record is from RNAcentral. Lineage: Eukaryota; Viridiplantae; Streptophyta; Magnoliopsida; Cucurbitales; Cucurbitaceae.